CUCCACCACCUCUCUGGGCAGCCCAUUCCAGUGCCUGACCACCCUUUCAGAGAAGUAGCAUUUCCUAGCAUCCAGCCUGAACCUUCCCUGGUGCAGCUAGAAGCCAUUCCCUCUAGUCCUAUCACUAGUCACACGAGAGAAGAGGACGACCCCCAGCUCACUACAACCUCCCUUCAGAUAGUUAUAGAGAGCAAUAAGGUCUCCCCUGAGCCUCCUCUUCUCUAGACUGAACAAUCCCAGCUCCUUCAGCCGCUCCUCAUAAGGCCUGUGCUCCAGACCCCUCACCAGCUUUGUUGCCCUCCUCUGGACAUGCUCCAGGGCCUCAAUGUCUUUCUUACAGUGAGGGGCCCAAAACUGGACACAGUACUCGAGGUGCGGCCUCACUAGUGCUGAGUACAGGGGAAUAAUUACUUCCCUGUUCCUGCUGGCCACACUAUUUCUGAUACAAGCCAGGAUGCCAUUGGCCUUCUUGGCCACCUGGGCACACUGCUGGCUCAUGUUCAGUCUAGUGUCAAUCAACACCCCCAGGUCCAUUUCCUCUACACAGUCUUCCAGCCACUCUGCUCCAAGCCUGUAGUGUUGCCUGGGGUUAUUGCGGCCAAAGUGCAGGACUCGGCAUUUGGUCUUGUUGAAUCCCAUCCCAUUGGCUUCAGCCCAGCUAUCCAACCUAUCCAGAUCCCUCUGUAAGGCCUCGCUACCCUCAGGCAGAUCAGCACUUCCAGCUAGCUUGGUGUCAUCUGCAAACUUACUGAGGGUGCACUCAAUACCCUCAUCAAGGUCAUCAAUAAAGAUAUUGAAGAGGACAGGCCCCAGCACCGACCCCUGGAGAACACCACUCGUGACCGGUCACCAGCUGGAUUUAACUCCAUUCACUACCACUCUCUGGGCCCGGCCCUCCAGCCAGUUCCUUACCCAGCCAAGAGUGUAUCUGUCCAAGCCACGAUCUGCCAGCUUCUGGAGGAGAAUACUGUGGGAGACAGUGUCAAAGGCUUGGCUGAAGUCUAGGUAGACCACAUCAACAGCCUUUCCCUCAUCCACCAGACGAGUCAUUAGAUCAUAGAAGGAGAUCAGGUUGGUCAAGCAGGACCUGCCCUUUGUGAACUCAUGUUGGCUAGGCCUGAUCCCCCAGCUGUCCCGCACGUGCCGCGUGAUCUCCCUCAAGACAAUCUGCUCCAUAAU
Molecule: long non-coding RNA, 1179 nt
Filed under: Gallus gallus (chicken)
Lineage: Eukaryota; Metazoa; Chordata; Aves; Galliformes; Phasianidae
Description: lncRNA (ENSGALG00010013610.1)
Source: RNAcentral